RNAcentral lists this ribosomal RNA (330 nucleotides) under uncultured eukaryote. RNAcentral describes it as "partial 18S ribosomal RNA". It matches the Rfam family "Eukaryotic small subunit ribosomal RNA", at positions 1470 to 1796 of the family's 1831-position model. The record is from RNAcentral.
CCCUUAGAUGUUCUGGGCCGCACGCGCGCUACACUGAUGCAUUCAACGAGUCUAAAACCUGGUCUGAUAGGGCUGGGUAAUCUUUUGAAAGUGCAUCGUGAUUGGGAUAGAUGAUUGCAAUUCUUCAUCUUCAACGAGGAAUGCCUAGUAAACGCAAGUCAUCAGCUUGCAUUGAUUACGUCCCUGCCCUUUGUACACACCGCCCGUCGCUCCUACCGAUUGAAUGAUCCGAUGAAUACCAUGGAUUGAGAGUACGAACGGGUUCGCUCAUUUCUGCUGCUCGAGAAGUGGAGUAAAUCUUAUCAUUUAGAGGAAGGAGAAGUCGUAACA